This 253-nucleotide ribosomal RNA is filed under the name uncultured bacterium. Its description in RNAcentral is "partial 16S ribosomal RNA". It matches the Rfam family "Bacterial small subunit ribosomal RNA", at positions 524 to 776 of the family's 1533-position model. The record is from RNAcentral.
UACAGAGGGUGCAAGCGUUGUUCGGAUUCAUUGGGCGUAAAGGGUGCGUAGGCGGCGCGGCAAGUCGGGUGUGAAAUCUCGGGGCUUAACUCCGAAACUGCAUUCGAUACUGCCGUGCUUGAGGACUGGAGAGGAGACUGGAAUUUACGGUGUAGCGGUGAAAUGCGUAGAUAUCGUAAGGAGGACCAGUGGCGAAGGCGGGUCUCUGGACAGUUCCUGACGCUGAGGCACGAAGGCCAGGGGAGCAAACGGG